AAGUCGUAACAAGGUUUCCGUAGGUGAACCUGCGGAAGGAUCAUUAAUGAAUAAACUUGGUCGAGUUGUUGCUGGUCCUUCGGGGCAUGUGCACGCUUGCCACCAAUUUUAACCACCUGUGCACCUUUGUAGACUGGAAACAAUUCUCGAGGCAACUCGGAUUGAGAACUGCUGUGCGCGAGCCAGCUGUCCUUGCGUUUCUAAGUCUAUGUUUUCAUAUACUCCAUUGUAUGUAUCAGAAUGUAUUGCUAGGCCGUUAGUGCCUUUAAAUCAAAUACAACUUUCAACAACGGAUCUCUUGGCUCUC
Molecule: unclassified non-coding RNA, 307 nt
Filed under: air metagenome
Description: partial contains small subunit ribosomal RNA, internal transcribed spacer 1, and 5.8S ribosomal RNA
Rfam family: Eukaryotic small subunit ribosomal RNA (bases 1-46)
Source: RNAcentral